UUAUGAGAGUUUGAUCCUGGCUCAGGACGAACGCUGGCGGCGUGCCUAAUACAUGCAAGUCGAACGCUUUUUCUUUCACCGGAGCUUGCUCCACCGAAAGAAAAAGAGUGGCGAACGGGUGAGUAACACGUGGGUAACCUGCCCAUCAGAAGGGGAUAACACUUGGAAACAGGUGCUAAUACCGUAUAACACUAUUUUCCGCAUGGAAGAAAGUUGAAAGGCGCUUUUGCGUCACUGAUGGAUGGACCCGCGGUGCAUUAGCUAGUUGGUGAGGUAACGGCUCACCAAGGCCACGAUGCAUAGCCGACCUGAGAGGGUGAUCGGCCACACUGGGACUGAGACACGGCCCAGACUCCUACGGGAGGCAGCAGUAGGGAAUCUUCGGCAAUGGACGAAAGUCUGACCGAGCAACGCCGCGUGAGUGAAGAAGGUUUUCGGAUCGUAAAACUCUGUUGUUAGAGAAGAACAAGGAUGAGAGUA
This 480-nucleotide ribosomal RNA is filed under the name Enterococcus gallinarum. RNAcentral's name for it is "bacterial SSU rRNA". It matches the Rfam family "Bacterial small subunit ribosomal RNA", at positions 1 to 463 of the family's 1533-position model. Lineage: Bacteria; Bacillati; Bacillota; Bacilli; Lactobacillales; Enterococcaceae. The record is from RNAcentral.